ACGUCAUCCCCACCUUCCUCCGGUUUGUCACCGGCAGUCUCACAUGAGUCCCCAACUUAAUGCUGGCAACAUGCGACGGGGGUUGCGCUCGUUGCGGGACUUAACCCAACAUCUCACGACACGAGCUGACGACAGCCAUGCACCACCUGUGAUCCUGCCCCGAAGGGAAGCCCUGUUUCCAGAGCGGUCAGGAACAUGUCAAGCCCAGGUAAGGUUCUUCGCGUUGCGUCGAAUUAAACCACAUGCUCCGCUGCUUGUGCGGGUCCCCGUCAAUUCCUUUGAGUUUUAGCCUUGCGGCCGUACUCCCCAGGCGGGGCACUUAAUGCGUUAGCUUCGGCACGGAGGGAGUCGACACCCCCCACACCUAGUGCCCAUCGUUUACAGCGUGGACUACCAGGGU
This 400-nucleotide unclassified non-coding RNA is filed under the name uncultured fungus. RNAcentral's name for it is "sequence contains ITS1". Lineage: Eukaryota; Fungi. The record is from RNAcentral.